Molecule: long non-coding RNA, 1145 nt
Filed under: Panax ginseng (ginseng)
Lineage: Eukaryota; Viridiplantae; Streptophyta; Magnoliopsida; Apiales; Araliaceae
Description: long non-coding RNA (PGIN_LNC015321)
Source: RNAcentral
CCAGUUCUAACCCUAGAUCUCCUCUUUCAAUUCCUUCUAGAGUAACAAGGUAAUUAUUGGCCAAAUAAUUAAUCAAUACGCACAAGACAAGAUAAAUAAUUCACUUUGACAUAAAUAAUUAGAAUAAAUUGAAUAACUAAUUUAUAGCCAUAAAAGGUUCAAUUGGAAUCUUAAUUAAAGAAUUAGUUCAUAACAGAAAUUAAAACCAACAAUCUUUUGCAAAACAUUCCUAAGGAAUUACACAAAUUGAAAAUAAGGAGAAGAAGAAAAACUCUAGAGUCAAUCCUUCAAUCUUCAAGUAAUCCCUUGCUUAGUCUUCAAUUGUGAUCGAUUCCCUUUUAAUUCAGCAAAAUAAACUUUAUAUACUCUCCUCAUCUCACCACAAUCCUUUCUCAAAUCAACUUCUCAAUUAAGUCUUCUAGUCCACGUCAAAUUUCAAUCCACGCGCCCACCUGGUCAACCUUAGCCGGGCCUCAGCGCCCUAGCGCUGCGUGUAGUAUUAGGACUAGCGCCCCGGCGCUGGACUUCUCUUUAAUUACAAAAAUGCCAUUAAACAGCUAAAACUCCCCAAAUUUGCCCCUACAGCUCCCGAAUCUGCAAAAUAACCACUAAACAAAGUAAAAAUUGUGGCGACCCCAAAUCCGGAUACUUGAAACCCGAACUCGGUUCUCCACGAUACCAUUUCUUUAAGCUGAAUAAUAAUAAAUAAUAAUAUAAUUCGAACUUAAUUUACAUACAUCAAAGUUUACUUUCACAGGUACGUGACCUUCAAAUACAUUCCUUACAAUACCUGACAAUAGAUUCCAUUGUCUUACUAACUAUAACCAUUAACUCAUACUAAAUCUCAUUCGAAUAGCUUUUCUUUUCCCUUGUUCGUGCCUGAGCCUUCAGGUCGAUCGUACGUAACUGAAAACAUUUAGUUUAAGCAAGGAUGAGCAUUUGAGUGCCCAGCAAGUAAUAGCAAUUAUAUAUAUAAGCUGAAAGAAUAUAAGUAUUCUCUUUACAUAACACUUCUACAACGAAUCAAAAGUUGUGAAGUAAUCUGUACUGAUAAAAGAUUCACAUAACAACUCUCUUUCAAUUUCUUGAAAUUAGGCUCCACCCAUGAAUAGGGUUUAAGAAACAUACUAUGAACAUUGUUUUUC